This 597-nucleotide ribosomal RNA is filed under the name Salmonella enterica. RNAcentral describes it as "bacterial SSU rRNA". It matches the Rfam family "Bacterial small subunit ribosomal RNA", at positions 1 to 589 of the family's 1533-position model. Lineage: Bacteria; Pseudomonadati; Pseudomonadota; Gammaproteobacteria; Enterobacterales; Enterobacteriaceae. RNAcentral also lists the same sequence under 1 other name. The record is from RNAcentral.
AAAUUGAAGAGUUUGAUCAUGGCUCAGAUUGAACGCUGGCGGCAGGCCUAACACAUGCAAGUCGAACGGUAGCACAGAGAGCUUGCUCUCGGGUGACGAGUGGCGGACGGGUGAGUAAUGUCUGGGAAACUGCCCGAUGGAGGGGGAUAACUACUGGAAACGGUAGCUAAUACCGCAUAACGUCGCAAGACCAAAGUGGGGGACCUUCGGGCCUCACACCAUCGGAUGUGCCCAGAUGGGAUUAGCUAGUAGGUGGGGUAACGGCUCACCUAGGCGACGAUCCCUAGCUGGUCUGAGAGGAUGACCAGCCACACUGGAACUGAGACACGGUCCAGACUCCUACGGGAGGCAGCAGUGGGGAAUAUUGCACAAUGGGCGCAAGCCUGAUGCAGCCAUGCCGCGUGUAUGAAGAAGGCCUUCGGGUUGUAAAGUACUUUCAGCGAGGAGGAAGGCGUUGUGGUUAAUAACCACAGCGAUUGACGUUACUCGCAGAAGAAGCACCGGCUAACUCCGUGCCAGCAGCCGCGGUAAUACGGAGGGUGCAAGCGUUAAUCGGAAUUACUGGGCGUAAAGCGCACGCAGGCGGUUUGUUAAGUC